CCUACGGGAGGCAGCAGUGGGGAAUCUUGCGCAAUGGGCGGAAGCCUGACGCAGCGACGCCGCGUGCGGGAAGGAGGCCUUCGGGUCGUAAACCGCUUUCAGCAGGGACGAGGCCGCGAGGUGACGGUACCUGCAGAAGAAGCCCCGGCUAACUACGUGCCAGCAGCCGCGGUAAUACGUAGGGGGCAAGCGUUAUCCGGAUUCAUUGGGCGUAAAGCGCGCGUAGGCGGCCUGUUAGGUCGGGAGUCAAAUCCGGGGGCUCAACCCCCGCCCGCUCCCGAUACCGGCGGGCUUGAGUCUGGCAGGGGAAGGCGGAAUUCCAAGUGUAGCGGUGGAAUGCGCAGAUAUUUGGAAGAACACCGGUGGCGAAGGCGGCCUUCUGGGCCACGACUGACGCUGAGGCGCGAAAGC
RNAcentral lists this ribosomal RNA (411 nucleotides) under uncultured Corynebacterium sp. RNAcentral describes it as "bacterial SSU rRNA". It matches the Rfam family "Bacterial small subunit ribosomal RNA", at positions 338 to 760 of the family's 1533-position model. Lineage: Bacteria; Bacillati; Actinomycetota; Actinomycetes; Mycobacteriales; Corynebacteriaceae. The record is from RNAcentral.